GGUGAACGCUAGUAGUAUGCUUAACACAUGCAAGUUGAACGAAAUUUAUUUCGUAGCGAACGGGUGAGUAGAAUACAGAACGGCUACUUUUUAGUUUAGAAUAAAAAUAUUUACAUUGUAAAUAUUCAAAUACUAAAUAUGCAAAAGGUUAUUUUAAAAAAUUUCCGCUAAAAGAUGUGUCUGUGUAAGAUUAGGUAGUUGGUAAAUUUAACAGCUUACCAAGCCGUCGAUCUUUAGUUGGUCUUAGAGGAUGAUCAACCACACUGGAACUGAAAUAAGGUCCAGGCUGAUUUUGCAGCCAGCAGUGAGGAAUAUUGGACAAUGAACGAAAGUUUGAUCCAGCAAUACUAUCUGAAUGAUGACGGCUUCUAACUUAGUGUUAGUUGUAAAGUUCUUUCGUUAAGAAUGAUAAUGACAUACUUAAAGAAGUUUUAGUCCCGGCUAAUACUCGUGCCAGCAGCCGCGGUAAUACGGGAGGGGCAAGCGUUAUCCGGCAUAACUGGGCGUAAAGGGUCCGUAGACGGUAAAAUAAGUUACUAGUUUUAAAUCUAAAAGCCUAACUUUUAGUCAGCUUGUAAUACUGUUUUACUCGAGUUUUAUACAGAAGAAUAGAAUUUUAUAUGAAAGGGUGAAAUCUCAAGAUAUAUAAAGGAAUAUCAGUGGCGAAAGCGAUUCUUUAAUAAGAACUGACGUUGAGGGACGAAAGUGUGGGUAGCAAACAGGAUUAGAUACCCUGGUAGUCCACACUGUAAAUUCUGAGUGCUGUAAUUUAAUGUAAGACAAAAUUCUUAUUUAGAUUUUUAAGCUAACGCCAUAAGCACUCCGCCUGAGGAGUACGAUCGCAAGGUUGGAACUCAAAGGAAUUGACGGGGGCUUAAUACUAGUGGUGGAGCAUGUGGUUUAAUGCGAUAAUCCGCGCAGAACCUUACCAAUUCUUGACAUAAUAAU
This 948-nucleotide ribosomal RNA is filed under the name uncultured bacterium. Its description in RNAcentral is "bacterial SSU rRNA". It matches the Rfam family "Bacterial small subunit ribosomal RNA", at positions 28 to 993 of the family's 1533-position model. The record is from RNAcentral.